GACAGAGGUGCCGAGCGUUAGGCGGAAUCACUGGGCUUAAAGCGUGUGUAGGCGGCUUUCUAAGUGCUUUGUGAAAUCCCACGGCUUAACCGUGGAACUGCUGGGCAUACUGGUUGUCUUGGGCCAUCUAGGGGCUACUGGAACAAACGGUGGAGCGGUGAAAUGCGUAGAUAUCGUUUGGAACGCCAAUGGUGAAAACAAGUAGCUGGGGAUGUGCCGACGCUGAGACACGAAAGCCAGGGGAGCGAACGGG
Molecule: ribosomal RNA, 253 nt
Filed under: uncultured bacterium
Lineage: Bacteria
Description: partial 16S ribosomal RNA
Rfam family: Bacterial small subunit ribosomal RNA
Source: RNAcentral